Molecule: ribosomal RNA, 253 nt
Filed under: uncultured bacterium
Lineage: Bacteria
Description: partial 16S ribosomal RNA
Rfam family: Bacterial small subunit ribosomal RNA
Source: RNAcentral
GACGAACCGAGCGAGCGUUGUUCGGAAUCACUGGGCUUAAAGGGCGCGUAGGCGGGCUGCCAAGUCCGUGGUGAAAUCCCCCGGCUCAACCGGGGAAGGGCCUCGGAUACUGGCGGCCUCGAGGGGGGUAGGGGCGUGCGGAACUGUGGGUGGAGCGGUGAAAUGCGUUGAUAUCCAUAGGAACUCCGGUGGCGAAAGCGGUGUGCUGGAUCCUUUCUGACGCUGAGGCACGAAAGCGUGGGGAGCAAACAGG